GUACUGCUGAAGAGUCUCAAACUAGGACGAAACAGCUGUCGAGUAC
This 46-nucleotide non-coding RNA is filed under the name Trichobilharzia regenti. The record is from RNAcentral. Lineage: Eukaryota; Metazoa; Platyhelminthes; Trematoda; Strigeidida; Schistosomatidae.